CGCAAGAGUCACGGUCAGUUGCGCCUCUGCUUCGGAAGAGUAUUUUUAGUGGCAAAUAAAGUGGUGCGCAAAUAAACAAACGCCUGGAACAAAUCCUGCAAAGGAGAGCGCCUGUGUGCGGCCCACUGUCUAACUAGGUCAGCCUCGGGCACAGCUCCUUUUGACAGUUUGCUCCCCAGGGCGGAAGGUGACCCGCAGGUGCCGGCUGCUUUCCCCACCAAUCAGCCAUCUGUGGUUUGAGACUCACAAGCUUAGGAGAGACUCGGGAGGCAUCAGUUCCGCAUCCCGCACUCCCACGUGAAUUUGCCCCCGCCCUGAGUCAGAACCCUAGAGGGGUGAAAUCCCUGAAUUCUGCAGAGGAAACCCAUACUUCUUUGCUUUUUCAGCAAUUCCAGGAGAUGUCGUUUUUCAAGUGGCAAAUGUGUGGCUCUAGAGGACAGAGUAACCACCUUGCAGCCAAGAAGCCCUGAUGUCAACUCCCAGCUCUGCUGCAGCACCCAGAAAUCACCGGACCUUUCUGCAUCUUUCUGGGUGACUCUGUCAUGAGGAUUUCAUAAUGUAAUUCCCUAGCACAUAAGAAUUUCUCAACCAAUAUGGCUUUCUUUUUUCCUUCUCACUAGUCUUUGAGCUUCUUAAAGGGAAGACAUGUCCUAUUCAUCUCUACACCCCCCACACCAGUCUGCAUUCAGUAAGUGCUCAAUCAAUGUCUGCUGAAUCACAUCUUCCCACUCAACUGCAUGGCCUCGGAUGAUCCAAUUCUGUGGGACUCAGGGUCUCCCUGAUUCUGAAGAUCUCCAUUUCAGCCACCCCAUCCUGGUGCUUUUUCUGGAGAGACUGGGAAAAAGGAGACAGAAGAAUCCACUCUAGCUGAGACUCCAGAUUGCCUGGGCUGUAAUUUACGGUGCUAUCACAAAGGGGUCCUUUUUCCGCAUGGUGCUCUGCGGUGAUGAGCCAGAAGCUGAAGCUGAGGGGUCUUAUUGGCUGUGCAAACUUGAGGGAGUUGCCUAACCACUCUGGGCCCUGUUUUCCUGGCUUUGCCACUCUUCAGCUGUGUGACCCGGGGAAGCUCUCAACCUCUUUGUGCCUCCAUUUCCACAUCUGUAAAAUGGGGAUAUGAAAGUGGCUGCUUUGUGAAGAGUCCUGAGAAUAAAUGAGUUAAGUUUCCAUGAAUCAGGAAUCCAGGAGUGGUGUAAGUUUCUCAGGAAGUUGCAGUCAAGACAUUGGCCAGGUCUGUGAUCAUCUGAAGGCUUGACUGGGGCUGACAGAUCCACCUCCAAGUUGGUUCACUCCCAUGGUGCAGACUGCUGGCAGAAGAACUCAAUGUCUCCCACAUGGGCCCCUCAACAGGCUGCUUGAGUAUGUUCAGAGCAUGGUGGCUGGCCUCCCUCCAAGUGAGCAGUCCAAGACCUAUUCUGGGACGUCAUACACCAACACUUUUGCCACAUUCUACUCCUUAGAAGCAAGUCCCUAAGCAAAGCUCAUACUCCACGGGAGGGAAACCAGGCUCCACCUCUUGAAGGGAGGGGCACCAAAUAAUUUGCAAGUAUAUUUCAAAACCACUGCAGGUCACAUGGUGCAGAAAGACAGAAGCAGAGCAGAAGAAUAUUAAAACCUAUUGAAUUUACAACAGCAAGAAUAAAAUACAUGAUUGUUGGAACAUUUAGAGCUCCUUUCUCUCUAUUGUCUGCCCAGGAAAACUGAUAUGGAUAAAUAUGGAAGAGAGCUGGCCAGUGGAUGAAAUGGUGAUGUAAAGGUGAGCUUUGCGGAAGAGUGGAGAAAAGAGAUUGGCACUGAAGUGGGCAGUGAAAGAGCAAGAGGCUUGUGGGAGACUUGAUUUCAGAGGCAGCGUUUGGAUGGUUAUGAACAGGCUUUCCUCUUCUUUCAGGGGUACCGUAAAGAUCAGAAUUAAUAGUAUGACUAUUUGGUUUGGAGGCUGUUUCAUUAAGUAUUACACUGUGGAGAGACUGGAUCACAUGGGUCAUAUUAUUUAUUCAGGUUACAUUCACACUCCCUGUGAAUUCCCACCCUAUGCAAACUGGCAAGAAAACGCUAUUUUAAAAGAUUCUUGAACGCUUUUGUAUCUUUCUUAAGACUUUUGUAUACAGCACUGUUCACAUAGUAGGUAGUCAAAAUUAGUGAGAAAGACUCAAGCAAAAAGUUUAUUUGGAUUUCCAUAUGAUUUAUAAGCCAAGACGCUAUAAUCCAAAGAGGCAGGAAAAUGAUGUAAACUAGAAAUAAAAAUAUUUGUAAGUGACAAUGUGUCCUGAAUUCUUUGACAGGUUAAGAGAAAUAAAAGCAGGAGACGAGGAGAGAGUCACACCACGGCUCUGCAGCCCACACCACCUUGGAACCAAACAGGGAGGUGGCAGAACUGAUGGGCUGGCCGCACCACCUUAAAUCUCUUAGCUCCAAAACUGGAGGUGCUCAUCAGGACCCUGCAUCAUUUCUGUGGGUGAUGGAUGGUGUGAGGUAAGGCACAGAGAUCUAGACUUAUUUCUCCUUCCACAACAAUUGUUUCUUGGAAGAGGAAGAAAACUUAGCUGGAUUUUAUCUCUUUGUGUGGAUUUCUGGGGUAGACACCCAGAGGUGUGUGCAGGAGCAUGCUCUUUGGGGCCCACAUAGAGAUUCCAGCAGGUGCUGGAGAUUCUGGGGUAGCCUUUCCAUGACUGCUGGCCUCUUUUCCCCUGUGUUGCUUUGGUUUGCUGUCUGGCUAAAGGCAGGAGUGGGAGAAACUCACAUUCCACAAGAGGCUGCCUGGAGCAGAGGCCAAGAGGGUAAGGUUUGUCCAAGGCCUUCCAUCUCAGCUUUGCUGCCAAUUUGUCAGAAAAAAAAUCAUUUGUGCCAAUUAGACCCUGGUUAGGAAAGUGUUGUCCUGUCUGGGAAGCAGGUACAGAAACCAGUUGCAAGGACAGGAGAUCAAUGAAAGUGACACAUUACUUAUGCCUCCAAUUCUUCUCAGCCCUCAAUUUAGUCUCUGAGACACAGAGAAAAUAAGUGUACUUGCCUUGCUAAUGGGUACAUGGUUGGCUUUGGGCAAUUUAUAUAGAGCACUUUAGUUCCAAGAUGAAAUGCACUGAGAUAUUAGGAUUAGUCUCUGCUUUAAUGAGUUUCUGACUUGCAGGUUUGAAAAAAUUUAGUUCUUUUCUGUAUUUCUCUACAAACACAAAACAAUGAUUUAAUGGUAAAACAACAAUGAAAAGAAACUAGGCCAUUCUCUCCAAAAUGAUUAAAAGGGUACUUCUCCUGACCUGACAUAACCUUUCCUCAUAUGAAUUUAUUAUCUGUAUUCACACUCAUAUUCCACUGGAAUGCCUUGGGUCCAGGUGGAUGGUUGCUUAUGGUUAGUAUCGAUUCUGAGCAGGUAGGCAUUCAUACUGUUUGGUUGACGCCUGUGGUGAACAGACCUUAAGGUGACUUCUUGCACCCCUGAGUCAUUUUCUUGUAUAAUCUCCUCUCUUUGAGGACACAAACUGUGCCCUGCUUCAAACCAGUGGAAUAGAGACAAGGUGAUGAGAUCUUUGGUUAUUGCACCUAACUGCUUCAUUCAUUGCACAAUUAGUCACACGCUGUUUUGUGAUGCAGAACAUUUUUUUUUAAGAGAUGGUAGUCUCACUCUGACACCCAGGUUGGAGUGCAGUGACAUGAUCAGAGCUCACUGCAGCCUCAAACUCCUGGGCUCAAGGGAUCCUCCUGCCUCAGCCUCCUGAGUAGCUGGGACUAGAGGUGCGUGCCACCACACCCAGCUAUUUUUUAUUUUUUGUAGAAAUGGAGUCUCACUUUGUGGCCCAAGCUGGUCUCCAACUCCUGGGCUCAAGUGAUCCUCCCACCUUGGCUUAUCAAAUUGCUGGGAUCACAGGUUUGAGCCACCGUGCUUGGACUGUGAUGCAAAAUUUUAUCUAAACCUUGUAUUGUUGACUAUAGCAUCAUGCACUUACUAUUUUCCCUCUUAACUAGAUUUUAAGUCUCUUGAGGGCAAGAACUCUGUUCUUGAAGAUUUUCAGAAGCCCGAUAGCAUAUGGAAGUACUUGACACACAAUAAGUACACAGUCAUAUGUGAUUUGGUUUCUGAGCCUUCAUUUGUCCAACAAAACCAGAUGGGUCUUAGAUGAAGAUAUACGUGGCAAACACUGCAUGCCUACUGUGGGUCAGGUUAGCUCCCAGACAUGCAGAAAACAAAAGCUCUGUCCUCAGGAGUUCAUGAUGGUUCAACCCAAUCAACGAAGUCUUGCAAUCUCACUUCCUCCUUACCUUGUAGAGUUGGAAGAUAUCCAAAUAUUCCUAGAGUUCUUUGUCAAUCUGUCAGGAUUAUAAUUCCACAGAUCAGGCAGAGUGUAACCAUGAAGCUCUUCAGUGAAUUUUUAGUGACUUUUGGGUGAUUUUUUAGUUUCCAAGUAGAAGAAGCAAAAGACCCUUGUGGUGGUUACCUUCCAUCUAAACAGAGAGUGAGCUACAAAGAUACUGCUGUCCCUCAGUGGCCCAUGGGUGUCCCUGCAAAUCUGUGACUCAAGUGGCCAUAUUCAUAUUAAGCAGACCAGAGAUCAAAACCAUAUUAGGCAUGAACCACUUUUUAUUCAUAGGCUUACCGAAUAUAU
Molecule: long non-coding RNA, 4592 nt
Filed under: Homo sapiens (human)
Lineage: Eukaryota; Metazoa; Chordata; Mammalia; Primates; Hominidae
Description: HSALNT0070211
Source: RNAcentral